UUACCUGAGAUGUUCGCCAAAGGGUUACGUCCCUGAGCCGAUAUUUACAUACUUAGAGUUGGCUUCUCAGCUGUCGGUGUGCAGGCUUAGUUUAACUAAGAAGCCUAAUGAUAGUUAUAGUUAACUCCCUUGAACCAUCGGGUUCAAGGACCGACCACCCAAAACGGCAUCUCGGGGCU
This 179-nucleotide non-coding RNA is filed under the name pig gut metagenome. RNAcentral describes it as "6S / SsrS RNA". It matches the Rfam family "6S / SsrS RNA". Rfam says of the family: E. coli 6S RNA was the first non coding RNA to be sequenced, but its function was unknown until recently. It consists of 184 nucleotides that fold into an extended hairpin structure with a large single-stranded internal bulge. The 6S RNA specifically associates with RNA polymerase holoenzyme containing the sigma70 specificity factor. The record is from RNAcentral.